AUGGUCAGCAGGACCUCACGAGACAGAGGCCGGCUUCCCGUUGGCCUCUCCAGGAAGCAGGCACCGUCUGCCUUUCCCAGCCCUGACGCUGCAGUUGUCUUGUCUGGGGCCGGGAGUUUGGAAGCCUCUGGUGAGCCAGCAGCUCCCAGGAGGCUACAGGGUCACAGCAGGGGAUACCUCCACAGUCAUCGGCCCCCUCCACCCCUCCCCUCUGCAGCCGUGGAAAUACAGCCUCUUUUUUUAUGGGAAGUGUCUUGUCAACUAUACUCUAAACACUUUGAAGGUGAACUGUCCAGUGGCAACUAUACCUUAGGAACACAAAUCUCUCCCCAACACCCAGCGCCAGGCUCUCCUCAGCGCAUAUUUGUAUUAAAUACUCUCCGUAAUACGUGUAUAAAUGGGUGAAUUAAUUAAUAUAUCACAGCUGGCAGCUGACAGACCUUUGUCAGAUGAACCUUCUUUUCACACACGCAAAAAGUCACAUUUGGUUGUGCAUCAAAGGACACCAUCAAGAGAGUGAAAGAACACCCUGCAGAAUGGGAGAGAAUUCUGCAAAUCUCAUGUCCGAUACAGGAUCAGUAUGCAGAAUAUAGAGAGAACUCUUACAACUCAACAACAACAAAAAAAAACCAGACAACCCAAUUCAGAAAUGAGCGAAGGACUUGAACAGACAUUUCUCUAAAGAAGAUGGUAAGCUGUAUGGUGGCCAAUAGGCACAUGAGAAGAUGCUCAGCAUCAUUAGCCAUCAAAUCAAAACCACAGUGAGGUACCACUCGCACCCACUAGGAAGACUCCAACCAAACCAACCAAACAAACAAAGGGGGAGAGUAACAAGCGUUGGUGAGGACAUAGAGAACACGGAACGGUCAUGCGUUGCUGGUGGGGUCGUACAGCAGUGCACCUGCUGCUGUUCCAAGGUUCCGAGGUCCCUCAA
Molecule: long non-coding RNA, 934 nt
Filed under: Felis catus (domestic cat)
Lineage: Eukaryota; Metazoa; Chordata; Mammalia; Carnivora; Felidae
Description: lncRNA (ENSFCAG00000050915.1)
Source: RNAcentral